AUAACCGCCGUUGCUUCACCUGCUGCUGCUGGUCCAGACCGUCACUCAGUUCACCGUCGCUUCGUCGCCUACAACCUACUCUCACAGAGACACAGACUUCACUCGCCGCUCGUUGUUCGUCCUCAGCCACCACCCCAGUGUCGCCAGCCACCAGUCCACCAGACCACCACCAGGUUUCAGGCUGUCGUUGUUCGUCCUCAGCCACCAGUCCACCACCCAGUACCGUCCGUCGCCACUCGCCAGCCACCAGUCCACCACCAGGUAAGGGUUAUGUGACUUCUGUCUUCUGUACUUUGUUUUCUGAAAUUCAAUUGCUGAAUGCUGAUGUUAAUUGUGAGGUGGAGCCGUGGAGGCAGUAUCACUGUAAUUCGCAAUUGUUAAUUGUUAAAUGUGAUGUUAAUUGUUAAUUGUGAUGUUAAUUGUGAGAUGGGUUCAGCUGUCAAA
Long non-coding RNA from Chenopodium quinoa (quinoa), 444 nucleotides. RefSeq lists it as uncharacterized. The transcript has 2 exons. NCBI's taxonomy places the organism in Eukaryota, Viridiplantae, Streptophyta, Magnoliopsida, Caryophyllales, Amaranthaceae. The record is from RefSeq and is a predicted model, not a curated record.